RNAcentral lists this ribosomal RNA (511 nucleotides) under uncultured Gammaproteobacteria bacterium. Its description in RNAcentral is "bacterial SSU rRNA". It matches the Rfam family "Bacterial small subunit ribosomal RNA", at positions 9 to 516 of the family's 1533-position model. Lineage: Bacteria; Pseudomonadati; Pseudomonadota; Gammaproteobacteria. The record is from RNAcentral.
GAGUUUGAUCGUGGCUCAGAUUGAACGCUGGCGGCAGGCCUAACACAUGCAAGUCGAGCGGAUGAGUGGAGCUUGCUCCAUGAUUCAGCGGCGGACGGGUGAGUAAUGCCUAGGAAUCUGCCUGGUAGUGGGGGACAACGUUUCGAAAGGAACGCUAAUACCGCAUACGUCCUACGGGAGAAAGCAGGGGACCUUCGGGCCUUGCGCUAUCAGAUGAGCCUAGGUCGGAUUAGCUAGUAGGUGGGGUAAUGGCCCACCUAGGCGACGAUCCGUAACUGGUCUGAGAGGAUGAUCAGUCACACUGGAACUGAGACACGGUCCAGACUCCUACGGGAGGCAGCAGUGGGGAAUAUUGGACAAUGGGCGAAAGCCUGAUCCAGCCAUGCCGCGUGUGUGAAGAAGGUCUUCGGAUUGUAAAGCACUUUAAGUUGGAGGAAGGGCAGUAAGUUAAUACCUUGCUGUUUUGACGUUACCAACAGAAUAAGCACCGGCUAACUUCGUGCCAGCCGCC